GACGAACGCUGGCGGCGUGCCUAAUACAUGCAAGUAGAACGCUGAAGAGAGGAGCUUGCUCUUCUUGGAUGAGUUGCGCACGGGUGAGUAACGCGUAGGUAACCUGCCUUGUAGCGGGGGAUAACUAUUGGAAACGAUAGCUAAUACCGCAUAACAAUGGAUGACACAUGUCAUUUAUUUGAAAGGGGCAAUUGCUCCACUACAAGAUGGACCUGCGUUGUAUUAGCUAGUAGGUGAGGUAAUGGCUCACCUAGGCGACGAUACAUAGCCGACCUGAGAGGGUGAUCGGCCACACUGGGACUGAGACACGGCCCAGACUCCUACGGGAGGCAGCAGUAGGGAAUCUUCGGCAAGGGGGGCAACCCUGACCGAGCAACGCCGCGUGAGUGAAGAAGGUUUUCGGAUCGUAAAGCUCUGUUGUAAGUCAAGAACGGGUGUGAGAGCGGAAAGUUCACACUGUGACGGUAGCUUACCAGAAAGGGACGGCUAACUACGUG
Molecule: ribosomal RNA, 497 nt
Filed under: uncultured bacterium
Lineage: Bacteria
Description: partial 16S ribosomal RNA
Rfam family: Bacterial small subunit ribosomal RNA
Source: RNAcentral